GACGAACGCUGGCGGCGUGCUUAACACAUGCAAGUCGAACGGAAAGGCCUGCUUUCCCUUGUGGAUUGCGGGUACUCGAGUGGCGAACGGGUGAGUAACACGUGAGUGAUCUGCCCCCAACUUGGGUAUAAGCCUGGGAAACUGGGUCUAAUUCCCGAUAGGACUGCAGGGUGGUGCCUGUGGUGGAAAACGAUUUUCUAGUGGUUGGGGAUGAGCUCGCGGCCUAUCAGCUUGUUGGUGGGGUAAUGGCCUACCAAGGCGGCGACGGGUAGCCGGCCUGAGAGGGUGGACGGCCACAUUGGGACUGAGAUACGGCCAAGACGCCUACGGGAGGCAGCAGUGGGGAAUAUUGCACAAUGGGCGGAAGCCUGAUGCAGCGACGCCGCGUGGGGGAUGACGGCCUUCGGGUUGUAAACUCCUUUCGACCGCGAGGAAGCCACCUGGUUGGAAGGGUGGUGACGGUAGUGGUAGAAGAAGCACCGGCUAACUACGUG
RNAcentral lists this ribosomal RNA (494 nucleotides) under uncultured bacterium. Its description in RNAcentral is "partial 16S ribosomal RNA". It matches the Rfam family "Bacterial small subunit ribosomal RNA", at positions 28 to 507 of the family's 1533-position model. The record is from RNAcentral.